ACGAACGCUGGCGGCGUGCCUCAUACAUGCAAGUAGAACGCUGAAGGAGGAGCUUGCUUCUCUGGAUGAGUUGCGAACGGGUGAGUAACGCGUAGGUAACCUGCCUGGUAGCGGGGGAUAACUAUUGGAAACGAUAGCUAAUACCGCAUAAGAGUAGAUGUUGCAUGACAUUUGCUUAAAAGGUGCAAUUGCAUCACUACCAGAUGGACCUGCGUUGUAUUAGCUAGUUGGUGGGGUAACGGCUCACCAAGGCGACGAUACAUAGCCGACCUGAGAGGGUGAUCGGCCACACUGGGACUGAGACACGGCCCAGACUCCUACGGGAGGCAGCAGUAGGGAAUCUUCGGCAAUGGACGGAAGUCUGACCGAGCAACGCCGCGUGAGUGAAGAAGGUUUUCGGAUCGUAAAGCUCUGUUGUAAGAGAAGAACGAGUGUGAGAGUGGAAAGUUCACACUGUGACGGUAUCUUACCAGAAAGGGACGGCUAACUACGUG
This 494-nucleotide ribosomal RNA is filed under the name uncultured bacterium. Its description in RNAcentral is "partial 16S ribosomal RNA". It matches the Rfam family "Bacterial small subunit ribosomal RNA", at positions 29 to 507 of the family's 1533-position model. The record is from RNAcentral.